This 485-nucleotide ribosomal RNA is filed under the name uncultured bacterium. Its description in RNAcentral is "partial 16S ribosomal RNA". It matches the Rfam family "Bacterial small subunit ribosomal RNA", at positions 30 to 506 of the family's 1533-position model. The record is from RNAcentral.
AUUGAACGCUGGCGGCAUGCCUUACACAUGCAAGUCGAACGGCAGCACGGGUGCUUGCCCCUGGUGGCGAGUGGCGAACGGGUGAGUAAUACAUCGGAACAUGUCCUGUAGUGGGGGAUAGCCCGGCGAAAGCCGGAUUAAUACCGCAUACGAUCCACGGAUGAAAGCGGGGGACCUUCGGGCCUCGCGCUAUAGGGUUGGCCGAUGGCUGAUUAGCUAGUUGGUGGGGUAAAGGCCUACCAAGGCGACGAUCAGUAGCUGGUCUGAGAGGACGACCAGCCACACUGGGCCUGAGACACGGCCCAGACUCCUACGGGAGGCAGCAGUGGGGAAUUUUGGACAAUGGGCGAAAGCCUGAUCCAGCAAUGCCGCGUGUGUGAAGAAGGCCUUCGGGUUGUAAAGCACUUUUGUCCGGAAAGAAAUCCUUGACUCUAAUACAGUCGGGGGAUGACGGUACCGGAAGAAUAAGCACCGGCUAACUACGG